This 239-nucleotide ribosomal RNA is filed under the name uncultured bacterium. RNAcentral describes it as "partial 16S ribosomal RNA". It matches the Rfam family "Bacterial small subunit ribosomal RNA", at positions 332 to 564 of the family's 1533-position model. The record is from RNAcentral.
CAGAGCCUACGGGAGGCAGCAGUAGGGAAUCUUCCACAAUGGGCGCAAGCCUGAUGGAGCAACACCGCGUGAGUGAAGAAGGGUCUCGGCUCGUAAAGCUCUGUUGUUGGAGAAGAACGUGCGUGAGAGUAACUGUUCACGCAGUGACGGUAUCCAACCAGAAAGUCACGGCUAACUACGUGCCAGCAGCCGCGGGAAUACGUAGGUGGCAAGCGUUAUCCGGAUGUAUUGGGCGUAAA